Molecule: long non-coding RNA, 268 nt
Filed under: Mytilus galloprovincialis (Mediterranean mussel)
Lineage: Eukaryota; Metazoa; Mollusca; Bivalvia; Mytilida; Mytilidae
Source: RNAcentral
GAAUUCUAAUAUGAUCUGCUUCUUUUGAUUUGUAAACAACACCAUGAUAAAAUGCUCAAUAUAUCUAUAAAAUUGAGAAUGGAAAUGGGGAAUGUGCCAAAGAGACAACAACCCGACCACAGAGCAGACAACAGCAGAAGGUCGCCAACAGGUCUUCCAUGCAACAAGAAAUUCCCGCACCCGGAGGUGUCCUUCAGCUAGCCCCUAAACAAAUAUAUACUAGUUCAGUGAUAAUGAACGCCAUACUAAACUCCAAAUUGUACACAAG